Molecule: ribosomal RNA, 708 nt
Filed under: uncultured bacterium
Lineage: Bacteria
Description: bacterial SSU rRNA
Rfam family: Bacterial small subunit ribosomal RNA
Source: RNAcentral
AGAGUUUGAUCCUGGCUCAGAGUGAACGCUGGCGGCAUGCCUAACACAUGCAAGUCGAACGGUAACAGGCCCGCAAGGGUGCUGACGAGUGGCGGACGGGUGAGGAAUACAUCGGAAUUUGCCCAGUCGUGGGGGAUAACGUAGGGAAACUUACGCUAAUACCGCAUACGACCUAACGGUGAAAGCGGGGGAUCGCAAGACCUCGCGCGAGUGGAUGAGCCGAUGUCGGAUUAGCUAGUUGGCGGGGUAAAGGCCCACCAAGGCGACGAUCCGUAGCUGGUCUGAGAGGAUGAUCAGCCACACUGGGACUGAGACACGGCCCAGACUCCUACGGGAGGCAGCAGUGGGGAAUAUUGGACAAUGGGGGCAACCCUGAUCCAGCAAUGCCGCGUGUGUGAAGAAGGCCUUCGGGUUGUAAAGCACUUUUAUCCGGAACGAAACGCGCAGGGUGAAUAUCCUUGCGAACUGACGGUACCGGAGGAAUAAGCACCGGCUAACUUCGUGCCAGCAGCCGCGGUAAUACGAAGGGUGCAAGCGUUACUCGGAAUUACUGGGCGUAAAGGGUGCGUAGGUGGUUGUUUAAGUCUGUUGUGAAAGCCCCGGGCUCAACCUGGGAAUGGCAAUGGAUACUGGACAGCUAGAGUGCGGUAGAGGGUAGUGGAAUUCCCGGUGUAGCAGUGAAAUGCGUAGAGAUCGGGAGGAACACCA